RNAcentral lists this ribosomal RNA (443 nucleotides) under uncultured bacterium. RNAcentral describes it as "partial 16S ribosomal RNA". It matches the Rfam family "Bacterial small subunit ribosomal RNA", at positions 338 to 795 of the family's 1533-position model. The record is from RNAcentral.
CCUACGGUAGGCAGCAGUGGGGAAUAUUGGGCAAUGGGCGCAAGCCUGACCCAGCAACGCCGCGUGAAGGAAGAAGGCUUUCGGGUUGUACACUUCUUUUCUGAGGGACGAAGAAAGUGACGGUACCUCAUGAAUAAGCCACGGCUAACUACGUGCCAGCAGCCGCGGUAAUCCGUAGGUGGCAAGCGUUAUCCGGAUUUAUUGGGUGGAAAGGGCGUGUAGGCGGGAAAGCAAGUCAGAUGUGAAAGCUCAGGGCUCAACCCUGAGCCUGCAUUUGAAACUGUUUUUCUUGAGUGCUGGAGAGGCAAGCGGAAUUCCGUGUGUAGCGGUGAAAUGCGUAGAUAUACGGAGGAACACCAGUGGCGAAGGCGGAUUGCUGGACAGUAACUGACGCUGAGGCGCGAAAGCGUGGGGAGCAAACAGGAUUAGAUACCCGGGUAGUC